Molecule: non-coding RNA, 21 nt
Filed under: Arabidopsis thaliana (thale cress)
Lineage: Eukaryota; Viridiplantae; Streptophyta; Magnoliopsida; Brassicales; Brassicaceae
Source: RNAcentral
CCUUAUGAGUUGGUGUCUUGC